GUUUGAUCAUGGCUCAGAUUGAACGCUGGCGGCAGGCCUAACACAUGCAAGUCGAACGGUAACAGGAAGCAGCUUGCUGCUUCGCUGACGAGUGGCGGACGGGUGAGUAAUGUCUGGGAAACUGCCUGAUGGAGGGGGAUAACUACUGGAAACGGUGGCUAAUACCGCAUAACGUCGCAAGACCAAAGAGGGGGACCUUCGGGCCUCUUGCCAUCAGAUGUGCCCAGAUGGGAUUAGCUAGUUGGUGAGGUAACGGCUCACCAAGGCGACGAUCCCUAGCUGGUCUGAGAGGAUGACCAGCCACACUGGAACUGAGACACGGUCCAGACUCCUACGGGAGGCAGCAGUGGGGAAUAUUGCACAAUGGGCGCAAGCCUGAUGCAGCCAUGCCGCGUGUAUGAAGAAGGCCUUCGGGUUGUAAAGUACUUUCAGCGGGGAGGAAGGUGUUGUGGUUAAUAACCGCAGCAAUUGACGUUACCCGCAGAAGAAGCACCGGCUAACUCCGUGCCAGCAGCCGCGGUAAUACGGAGGGUGCAAGCGUUAAUCGGAAUUACUGGGCGUAAAGCGCACGCAGGCGGUCUGUCAAGUCGGAUGUGAAAUCCCCGGGCUCAACCUGGGAACUGCAUUCGAAACUGGCAGGCUUGAGUCUUGUAGAGGGGGGUAGAAUUCCAGGUGUAGCGGUGAAAUGCGUAGAGAUCUGGAGGAAUACCGGUGGCGAAGGCGGCCCCCUGGACAAAGACUGACGCUCAGGUGCGAAAGCGUGGGGAGCAAACAGGAUUAGAUACCCUGGUAGUCCACGCCGUAAACGAUGUCUACUUGGAGGUUGUGCCCUUGAGGCGUGGCUUCCGGAGCUAACGCGUUAAGUAGACCGCCUGGGGAGUACGGCCGCAAGGUUAAAACUCAAAUGAAUUGACGGGGGCCCGCACAAGCGGUGGAGCAUGUGGUUUAAUUCGAUGCAACGCGAAGAACCUUACCUGGUCUUGACAUCCACAGAACUUUCCAGAGAUGGAUUGGUGCCUUCGGGAACUGUGAGACAGGUGCUGCAUGGCUGUCGUCAGCUCGUGUUGUGAAAUGUUGGGUUAAGUCCCGCAACGAGCGCAACCCUUAUCCUUUGUUGCCAGCGGUUAGGCCGGGAACUCAAAGGAGACUGCCAGUGAUAAACUGGAGGAAGGUGGGGAUGACGUCAAGUCAUCAUGGCCCUUACGACCAGGGCUACACACGUGCUACAAUGGCGCAUACAAAGAGAAGCGACCUCGCGAGAGCAAGCGGACCUCAUAAAGUGCGUCGUAGUCCGGAUUGGAGUCUGCAACUCGACUCCAUGAAGUCGGAAUCGCUAGUAAUCGUGGAUCAGAAUGCCACGGUGAAUACGUUCCCGGGCCUUGUACACACCGCCCGUCACACCAUGGGAGUGGGUUGCAAAAGAAGUAGGUAGCUUAACCUUCGGGAGGGCGCUUACCACUUUGUGAUUCAUGACUGGGGUGAAGUCGUAACAAGGUAACCGUAGGGGAACCUGCGGUUGGAUCACCUCCUUACCUUAAAGAAGC
RNAcentral lists this ribosomal RNA (1544 nucleotides) under Salmonella enterica. RNAcentral describes it as "partial 16S ribosomal RNA". It matches the Rfam family "Bacterial small subunit ribosomal RNA". RNAcentral also lists the same sequence under 4 other names. Lineage: Bacteria; Pseudomonadati; Pseudomonadota; Gammaproteobacteria; Enterobacterales; Enterobacteriaceae. The record is from RNAcentral.